Molecule: non-coding RNA, 835 nt
Filed under: Hydropsyche trifora
Lineage: Eukaryota; Metazoa; Arthropoda; Insecta; Trichoptera; Hydropsychidae
Source: RNAcentral
AAAUUAUUUCUGGUUUAUUGUUUAUUAAAUGUUUGAAUUAUAUAUAAAUUUUUAAAUAAAAAUAAUAAAUUUUAAAUAAAUUUAAUUUUUAAUUUUAUAUAAUAAUUAAUUUUAAAAUAAUUUUAAAUAAAUUUAAUUUUAGUAAUAUUAAUUUAUUUUUAAUUAAAAUUGUGCCAGCAAUUGCGGUUAAACAAUUAAUAAAAAUAAAUAUUAAAUUUUAAUUUUUAAAAAAAAAAAUAUAAUCAUGUAUAUAUAUACAUGAUAAAAUUUAAAAUUUGAUUAAAUAAGUAAAAUUAAAUAAUUAGAAGGUAUUUUUUCAUAUAUUUUUAAUUUUAAAAAAAAUUGUAAAUUUAAACUAGGAUUAGAUACCCUAUUAUAAUAAUUAAUCAUCAAAAAAAAAAUUUUUUUAAAUUAAAUUAGUAAAAUUGAAAAUUUGAAAAUUAAAGAAUAUGACGGUAUUUAAAUCAAUUUAGAGGAAUUUGUUUAAUAAUUGAUAUUCCACAAUUUAAAUUACUUAUUUUAAGAUUUGUAUAUCGUUGUUAUAAAAAUAUUUUUUAAUAAUUAAUAAUAUUUUAAAAUUUAAAUUUAAAUUUAUAUCAAAUCAAAGAUACAGUUUAUUGAUAAGAUUUAAAAUGAAUUACAAUAAUUGAAAUUAAUUAUAAUAGCUUAUUUGAAAAAUAUAUUAUUAAAUUGGAUUUAAAUGUAAUUAAUUAAUAAUUUUUAUUAAUGAUUAAUGUUUUUAAAUAAGUACAUAUUGCCCGUCACUCUUGUUAGUAAAUUUAUUUUAUAAUUAAGAUAAGUCGUAACAUAGUAGAAGUAUUGGAAAAUGUUUCUA